RNAcentral lists this long non-coding RNA (1066 nucleotides) under Malus domestica (apple). RNAcentral's name for it is "long non-coding RNA (MDOM_LNC003363)". The record is from RNAcentral. Lineage: Eukaryota; Viridiplantae; Streptophyta; Magnoliopsida; Rosales; Rosaceae.
AAAGCGGCAGGCGCGUCAGAUAAUGGAGGCGAUUGAGCUUGGUGUGGCGAAACUGCUGAGGACCAAAGAGUAAGAGACUGAAAAAAUCAUGCAAAGGAAAUAAUUGUUUUUCUUAAUAAAUCACUAGGUCCUUUGUGGUAUUUUUAUAUUGGGUAUAAAAGUCCUUUUCUUUUAAAUAAAUAAAAAAAGUGGUAGAGACAUAAAAUACUAACUUCUCUUCACAACCUCUUGUUAUAUAAAAUUUUAUUUUAUCUCAUUUAUUAGAACUAAAAGCACAAGUUUUUAUCAAGACCUCAUAAAACGAGCGCACUUUGAAGGUUGAGUGCAUGAUUGGCAUACGUACGGCAUGGACUUUUCAGGCCAUGUCAAGUUUCUUCUAUGGAAAGUAGAAUAGAAAUGUGCUUGAGGAUUAUUGCCCCGUUCCAAGUGAGUCUUAAGGUUUAAGAUGGGUAUACAAACAACUUUUAUCAAGGGUUAAACUUGUUAUCUUCAUAUUAUUCAUUCAAUAAACUUUUGAGAUUUUCUCAUAUAGAAUGGUGGACUACACACAUCGUUACUUUAGGGUUAUUGUUUAAGUUCUUUGAAUUCAUGCUGCGUCAAUAAUUUUUUUGGCAAACAAUAGAAUACUCUAUCUACCAAACUAAGCUAAACUACUGGAAGGGAAGACGAGUUAGAAACCGGAACAAAGUGGGAUGAAGAGAAAAAUCUUAACUACCAGGACAAUCCAUUAUUUGUAAAUUACAACUGAUAAUAUUUUUAAGGGUAAAUUACAUAGUAGUCCUUUAGGUUUGAGGUCUAUUGCAAUCUUAUACAUCUUUAAAACAUUUUAUUUUCAUAUCUCAAGUACUAUUUUAUUUCAAUUUCUUACAACCGUUACAUUUUCCAUCUAUGGAUCUGUUAAAUGCUGACGUGGCUGACACAUAUAUAGCACGUGGCUGCCAAAUGUCUACCACGUGGCAAAUAAAAUAAUUUUUUAAUUUUUUUUAAAAACAUGUCUGCCACUUUUUUUUUCCUUCUCUUUCUUCUUCUUCUUCUGGGUUCAAUCCUUUUUUUUCUUUUCUUCUUC